This 253-nucleotide ribosomal RNA is filed under the name uncultured bacterium. RNAcentral's name for it is "partial 16S ribosomal RNA". It matches the Rfam family "Bacterial small subunit ribosomal RNA", at positions 524 to 776 of the family's 1533-position model. The record is from RNAcentral.
UACAGAGGUCCCAAGCGUUGUUCGGAUUCACUGGGCGUAAAGGGUGCGUAGGCGGUCGGGUAAGUCUGAUGUGAAAUCUCCGAGCCUAACUCGGAAACUGCAUUGGAUACUAUUCGGCUAGAGAGUUGGAGGGGGGACUGGAAUUCUCGGUGUAGCAGUGAAAUGCGUAGAUAUCGAGAGGAACACCAGUGGCGAAGGCGAGUCCCUGGACAACUUCUGACGCUGAGGCACGAAAGCUAGGGGAGCAAACAGG